GACGAACGCUGGCGGCGUGCCUAAUACAUGCAAGUAGAACGCUGAAGGAGGAGCUUGCUUCUCUGGAUGAGUUGCGAACGGGUGAGUAACGCGUAGGUAACCUGCCUGGUAGCGGGGGAUAACUAUUGGAAACGAUAGCUAAUACCGCAUAAGAGUAGAUGUUGCAUGACAUUUGCUUAAAAGGUGCAAUUGCAUCACUACCAGAUGGACCUGCGUUGUAUUAGCUAGUUGGUGAGGUAACGGCUCACCAAGGCGACGAUACAUAGCCGACCUGAGAGGGGGCUCGGCCUCGCUGGGAUGGGGACACGGCCCAGACUCCUACGGGUGGCAGCCGUAGGGAAUCUUCGGCAAUGGACGGAAGUCUGACCGAGCAACGCCGCGUGAGUGCAGAAGGUUUUCGGAUCGUAUAGCUCUGUUGUAAGAGAAGAACGAGUGUGAGAGUGGAAAGUUCACACUGUGACGGUAUCUUACCAGAAAGGGACGGCUAACUACGUG
RNAcentral lists this ribosomal RNA (495 nucleotides) under uncultured bacterium. RNAcentral describes it as "partial 16S ribosomal RNA". It matches the Rfam family "Bacterial small subunit ribosomal RNA", at positions 28 to 507 of the family's 1533-position model. The record is from RNAcentral.